ACACGCAUGACACACUGCAUAUCAAUAAGCGGAGGAAAAGAAACUAACAAGGAUUCCCCUAGUAACGGCGAGUGAAGCGGGAAGAGCUCAAAUUUGAAAUCUUAAAGGGUUUCCCUUUACGAAUUGUAGUUUAAAGAAGUGUUUUCUGUUGGAGUUUCGGUAAAAGUUCUUUGGAAUAGGACAUCAUAGAGGGUGAGAAUCCCGUAUUUGACCGUUACUUUCCAGCUGUGUGAUACACUUUCAAAGAGUCGGAUUGUUUGGGAAUGCAGUCCAAAAUGGGUGGUAAAUUUCAUCUAAAGCUAAAUAUUGGCGAGAGACCGAUAGCGAACAAGUACCGUGAGGGAAAGAUGAAAAGAACUUUGAAAAGAGAGUUAAACAGUACGUGAAAUUGUCAAAAGGGAAGCGUUUGACACCAGUGUUGUUUAGUUGAAAAUCAAUUCAAUAAUUUUUGAUUUUGAGUAGUAUUGACUUCAUCAGCUUGCUGCUUUCUUUUCCGAAAUUAUUGAAUGCACUUUUCAGUUAACAAGUCAACAUCAAUUUCUUUUGUUGUAAAAGGGUAAGAGGAAGGUGGCUUACGCUUCGGCGUAAGUGUUUAUAGCCUUUUACCUCUGCAAUCGGAGAGAUUGAGGACAGCAGCGUAGACUCCUUCGGGGGUUAGAUACACUUGUGCUAAGCUAUAGCUUUUUAUAGACAACUUGUUGACUAUAUUUAGUCUUGUGGCUUACUCGCUUAUGCUAUUUUACCUACGCUUAGGAUGUUGACUGAUAUGUAGUCGUA
RNAcentral lists this ribosomal RNA (777 nucleotides) under uncultured Neocallimastigales. Its description in RNAcentral is "partial large subunit ribosomal RNA". It matches the Rfam family "Eukaryotic large subunit ribosomal RNA", at positions 23 to 644 of the family's 3401-position model. The record is from RNAcentral. Lineage: Eukaryota; Fungi; Neocallimastigomycota; Neocallimastigomycetes; Neocallimastigales.